RNA transcript from Triticum aestivum (bread wheat), 2184 nucleotides. RefSeq lists it as uncharacterized. NCBI's taxonomy places the organism in Eukaryota, Viridiplantae, Streptophyta, Magnoliopsida, Poales, Poaceae. The transcript has 4 exons. The record is from RefSeq and is a predicted model, not a curated record.
ACCGGUCAAACCUUCCAUGUCUCGCUCCUGAACCUACUCCUCCCGAUCCAAUCGUCCCCGCAAUCAUCGCACCUGCCCCUCCCGAUUCAGCCCCGCUCUUCCAUCUCGCGAGAGUCAGCCGCACCCCACCCGCCCCACGACCAUGGCGAUGUUUCGCUCCUCUAUCCAAUUUCCCUCUCCCUCUCAUCCUACCGCCGCCGCUUCCCAUGCUCUCGCUUGCCUGCUCCCCCUUGAGAUCCGAUGCCAACAAGCUACUAUGGCGGCCGUGUGACACACAGGAAGGAGGAGUUCCCACAGCAUCCUGCGCGGGGCAGGGUAUGCUACUAUAGGGGCUAGGGCAUCCCCACCCCUCUCCCUUCCCUCCUUUUUCUCUCUACUCCAAGCUUCAAUGACGGCAACUGUGGCCCCUACCCUCUGCUCCAUCAGCUCCUUGUCUCUGCAGAGCGUGUCAUCCUCCAUGGAUCCUGGUGGCGCUCAGGAUCUCUCACCGUAUGUCCAGCAAUAUCGGCCUUAAGGACGAUUGUGGACUAUGUCGCCUGCUCUAGAAAUCGAUGGACGCAACAGGUAGAACCGUAGAAGUAUUUGUGUUUUUUUUUCUGUUAAAAAAAGCACAUUGAGGCAUGUGUGAUGUUGAUGCGUACGUGAUGUCCAGGAGAUUUCUGAUGCAAUUUUGAAUGGGGACUUGAAAUCUUCAGUUCAAGUUCUAUUGUCAUUUGAUAUUUGCGGACAUUUGUUCAUGCUUUUUCUUCGAUUUUAGGCUGGAAGUAUAAAGUAUAAACACAUGUACAUAACCUUAUUUUGAAUUUCAGUCUCAUCAAAGAUGGGAUGUUCAGAAUAAUGUAACAUCGGCAUGUUCUAAUAAAUAAAAUAAGAGAAGGUUGGAGGCUUAGUAAUUACAUAGUCAGAAAAGUGGGACUAUGGUGGAUUAGAAGAUAUGUAUGUGUAGCUGCAAGCAUAUGUAUUUGGAUUGUCGGCUGAACAAUGUUUCAGCUGAAGAUCUCUGGAUUAGAUAUAUGUCCAGCCAUUCAUUAUUCCCAUGCUUGUUCUAGCCGAUCAACUACUGUAUUUGAUUGAUGACAUAUAAACAUUUUUUGAUGGAAUUGCACAUCCAGACCCCUCAUGGUGUUCAAGGAUGGUUUCAGCAGCUGGCAGUACUGGUACGUACGUGAUGCAGAGCAGUUCGGACCAUGGAAUUCUUCUACUCGAUUCAGAACAGCAUUAGCUGAAGAAAGGAAGCCUUGUGCCAAGGAGAAACAGAACUCUCGCUGUUUCUUGCGUUCACCGUACCGAAGAAGUGUCCAAGGAUAAUUACAUGGCCAAGAAGCAAAUAAAAAGAAAGCAACUACGAUUUACAGAGAGAGGUUUGGGAUGAAGCUAUCAAGAAAGGAGACCAAUUCGGGCUUAACUCUGAAUUUGAGAUUUUCCAAGCGGCCGGGACAUUGAUUGCAUUGAACAAUGGGUGUGGCCAUGAAGACUUCACUGCAUCAAACAUCUCCUGAAGCUCCAAGUUGGUGUCCCAUUGAAUAUUGAUGGAGUUCCAAUAGACCGCACUGAAGAUGCACUCAAAAAACAGGUGUUUGUCCGUUUCCAGUGGUGUGGUGUUACAGAAAAGACAUGAGUGACUGCAAUAUCAAAAUGUCUCCGGUGGAGCAUGUCCCUUGUGUUGACUCUGUCCAUUAACAUCAGCCAGGCGAACACUUUAAGUUUCAUGAUACACUUUGUCUUCCAGAUCAUUGUGAUGUAUACGGGUGGCUGCAGUUCUCUGAAGAAGAAGUUGGUGAAUUUCUUGGGCCGAAACUGAACUUCUCCCCAACAAGUAAUCCAUUCAUCAGCCAUCAUUGGUUCCAAGUAGAGAUCAUUCAUAUGAUUCUACAGACAUCUAAUUCCUGCAGCGCCUCGGUAGGGAGAAGCAUGUGGUCUGUCUUGGAAUUACACUAUAGAAAUAUCCUCCUCCCUUGUGAAAGAGAACAUGUGUGGCAGCUUGUUGGAAAGGGGUUCGUCAUCGAUCCAAAUAUCUUUCCAUAGAAGAAUUGUGUCACCGGCUCUAGGAAUGCAAGUUGUAACCCCUCUGUAUAUGUCCAUCAACGAGAACACAUCGUUCUGUAUAUCUUUCCAUAAAAGAAUCGUGUACAAUUUCUUAAGCGCAACAACUAGACAUUGAUUUGUAAUAGAAUUUCAGUUGGA